RNAcentral lists this non-coding RNA (460 nucleotides) under Pan troglodytes (chimpanzee). Lineage: Eukaryota; Metazoa; Chordata; Mammalia; Primates; Hominidae. The record is from RNAcentral.
GAAGGCGCCGGCCUGAGAGCCUGAGGGGAGUCGCCCAGCGUGCGACGCUAGGCUCGGGCUUCCCGCUCAAACAAGUUCAGGCUGCAGCCUGUUGGGCUUUGCCUUCAAUUACUUUCUGUGACCGUUGUGUUUUCUAUUCUACAGUCAGAGCACAGAAACGGUUUUCUUCGGGCUUUUGAAAGAGGUUUAUGAACUAAGCACCUGAUUUCCACCUAUAAUACUGUAAUUCAAUAACUUGUGUGAUAUAUGAGAAAUCCUGAAGUUCAUCACACUGUAACUGAAUUGCCAUUCCCACAACACUCCAGAGAGUUCUCUUGCCCUCUUUUGGCCAUGUGAGGAUACAAGAAGAUGGCAGUCUGCAACCAAGACGGCUCUCACCAGAACCCAACCAUGCUGGUAAUCUGAUCUCAGACUUCCAGCUCCAGAGCUGUAAGAAAUAAAUUUCUGUCGUUUAUAAGCC